Long non-coding RNA from Gasterosteus aculeatus aculeatus (three-spined stickleback), 2836 nucleotides. NCBI's taxonomy places the organism in Eukaryota, Metazoa, Chordata, Actinopteri, Perciformes, Gasterosteidae. The record is from Ensembl.
CUUAGCUUAGCAUACAAAAUGUAGUCGUUCAAUCAAUCAACAAAGCUGAAUUACCUUUAGUUAUAUUCAGUAUCGUGAUAGCAAAGGUUCCUCUUCAGCCCCACAGACACAAAAGAGGUUCAAAUGUUUAAGUUUAAGUAAUAACAAUGAGAAUCAAACCGUUAGCUAUUUGCAAAGGAUAAAACUUCUGGGUUUCUAAUUUUUCAUCACAGUAAAGGCGAGAGACCCUUGUGUGUUCUUAUUUCAAGAACUUUAUUUUGUUUUGCGACAAUUUUUUAUGAUCAACAACAAUUGGAGUAAAAGAUUACAUCGUGGUCCAUCCUAAUAAUGGGAGACAUUUGAAAGCAAUUUCUAGAAUUAUAACAUUUACUGAGCAGAUUUUCAACAAUAUUAGAAGUACUAGUCUGAAUAAAUGUGCACUUAAUUUGCUUCUCUAAUAAUUCAGUCCUGGUACUUAUAAAUGUAAUUGAUUGAUUGAGGGUAGCCAUUACAUUUUAUUUUGAAAACAAAACAUUUAUUUUUUCAACAGAACUAGAGAACAAAAUAACAACAAUUUGAACUCACUGUAAUUUAUGAUAAAAAAAAAUCUGCCAAAAAAGUAAUUUAUAUGAGAAACAAUUAAAAUGUUUCAAUGUCUAACAAUUCUGGGAUUGCUGUCAUUUCUUUCUGCAUGGGAGUACGGGGUAUUGAUCACGUAUUUAUUGAUUAUUGUCACCAAAUCGGUAAAUGGUAAAGCAAAAGAGAACAGCUUUCUUGAGGAAAAGAUUCAUGCUUCUUAUGUCUCACUUCUGUUCUGAUAUCAGACUGCUUGGAUCGUUUUUAAUCUUCUUUCUGAGAAGUAAAAAACAGAAAGGUCAGUGAGAUGUAAAGCAGGAAAAAGAUCUCAACUUUUGUUUCUGUUUACAUCAAACUAUUGAUUAAUCUAUUUGUUAAAUAGAAAAAAAAGUCAUAUUUGCAUUUUGUUCAUUUAGACUCUUUAUCAUUUAACAGUAUUGCAAGAUAAUAAAAUAAAUGAUAAUACAUUUUUGAUUACACACUUACAUUAUUUCUUCCUUAAUCAUCGGUGGAGAAGUUGGUGGAUGAACCUGUGAACAAAGAAAAAAAGUGUCUAAAAGUGCUCUGUUGAGUUCAAGAAUUGUAUUUAUUGUAAAUGAAAUGAAAAAAUAAAUCGGUUUUACCUUUCCAAAGAUUGAGCAGCCACCGGGCAUCCGCCAGCAGCCGGAUCGUUUGGGCAGCAGCUUCUUCACGUGUGCUGCUGGUCCUGUUGUGUCUGCAGGUCUUCCCGCUCAUCUCAGCCUUCUCUUCUGCUGAUGCAGCCGUUCUGAGGAGAGACGAUCAGGAGCAGCUGCUUGCUGAUCAGGAGCUGCUGGCCAAACGACCCGGCUGCUGGCGGAUGCCCGGUGGCUGCUCAAUCUUUGGAAUUGUUCGUCCACCAACUUCUCCACGGAUGAUUAAGGAAGACAUAAUAAAGAAGAUUAAAAACGAUCCAAGCAGUCUGAUAUCAGAACAGAAGUGAGACAUAAGAAGCAUGAAUCUUUUCCUCAAGAAAGCUGUUCUCUUUUGCUUUACCAUUUACCGAUUUGGUGACAAUAAUCAAUAAAUACGUGAUCAAUACCCCGUACUCCCAUGCAGAAAGAAAUGACAGCAAUCCCAGAAUUGUUACAGACAUUGAAACAUUUCAAUUGUUUCUCAUAUAAAUUACUUUUUUGGCAGAUUUUUUUUAUCAUAAAUUACAGUGAGUUCAAAUUGUUGUUAUUUUGUUCUCUAGUUCUGUUGAAAAAAGGAAUUGUUUUGUUUUCAAAAUAAAAUGUAAUGGCUACCCUCAAUCAAUCGAUUACAUUUAUAAGUACCAGGACUGAAUUAUUAGAGAAGCAAAUUAAGUGCACAUUUAUUCAGACUAGUACUUCUAAUAUUGUUGAAAAUCUGCUCAGUAAAUGUUAUAAUUCUAGAAAUUGCUUUCAAAUGUCUCCCAUUAUUAGGAUGGACCACGAUGUAAUCUUUUACUCCAAUUGUUGUUGAUCAUAAAAAAUUGUCGCAAAACAAAAUAAAGUUCUUGAAAUAAGAACACACAAGGGUAUCUCGCCUUUACUGUGUUGAAAAUUAGAAACCCAGAAGUUUUAUCCUUUGCAAAUAGCUAACGGUUCGAUUCUCAUUGUUAUUACUUAAACAUUUUAACCUCUUUUGUGUCUGUGGGGCUGAAGAGGAACCUUUGCUAUCACGAUACUGAAUAUAACUAAAGGUAAUUCAGCUUUGUUGAUUGAUUGAAAGACUACAUUUUGUAUGCUAAGCUAAGCUAACCCUGUCCUGACUUAAGCCUAGUUUAUGCUUCUGCGUUUUCAGAGCGACGCAAGGAAACGCAGACGUAAGAGCCCCUCGUGUGUCCCGCAGCGCACAAGGCUGCGAUUGGUCCGCUAAACACGUCCUUUACGGAGUCUCACGUUUCCGUUUUCAUAGCCCGAUACCGCCAUUAUUAAAACGAAGAAUGUUUACGAGAGAACGGAUCAGAUUUAAAUACUUUGGUCGGAAGAAAUGCGUAAAUUUAGUAGUUAAUAUAACAGGCCUCCUUACUGGGUGCCUAUAGGGAAAUAUGUAAAGAAAGCUAAGUGAGCCUAAAGCGAAGAGGAGGUUGGAGGCUGAGUUGGGUAGAAGGACAUGAUAAUAAACUACAGUGAAAGAGUGUUUUUUUAAUUAACUGAUCAUCUGCAUACGAGAAGCUCAUUGGAGUCGAUGUGCUCACCUGAGCAGCAGGCUGCAGAGGAUCGAUCCGUGUGGAGUCUGCAUCAGCAGAUGGGAAGGCUGUGAUGAGCAGGAAGAUCUGCAGAGACAACAGGACCAG